RNAcentral lists this transfer-messenger RNA (323 nucleotides) under Gammaproteobacteria bacterium. Its description in RNAcentral is "partial transfer-messenger RNA". It matches the Rfam family "transfer-messenger RNA". Rfam says of the family: Bacterial tmRNA, also known as 10Sa RNA or SsrA, is named for its dual tRNA and mRNA-like properties. Its role is to liberate the mRNA from a stalled ribosome. Lineage: Bacteria; Pseudomonadati; Pseudomonadota; Gammaproteobacteria. The record is from RNAcentral.
GGGGGCGAUCGGCUUCGACGUGGGUCGCGAACCCUUAAGUGCAUGCCGAGGGGCAGCUUACCUCGUAAAUCCAACUGCAAACCUUAUAGUUGCCAACGACGACAACUACGCCCUAGCUGCUUAAAAACCAGCCUAGUGCCUUCUGCCCGGUUCGUGCUUGUGCGUCCGGAUCCAGGAGUCAUCAUCGCAAGCUCGCGGAAUGGCACGUCUGGGGCCUGCACGUUAAAACCUCACCAGACUGGCUGUGAGUUUUCCCUGCCCGUCGGGUAGCUCUCAGUAAGAUUAAAGGCGGACUAAGCAUGUAGAGCUUGAGGCAGAGGGCU